GAUGAACGCUGGCGGCGUGCCUAACACAUGCAAGUCGAGCGAUCUUCUUCGGAAGAGAGCGGCGGACGGGUGAGUAACGCGUGGGUAACCUGCCCUGUACACACGGAUAACAUACCGAAAGGUAUGCUAAUACGAGAUAAUAUGCUUUUAUCGCAUGGUAGAAGUAUCAAAGCUCCGGCGGUACAGGAUGGACCCGCGUCUGAUUAGCUAGUUGGUAAGGUAACGGCUUACCAAGGCGACGAUCAGUAGCCGACCUGGGAGGGUGAUCGGCCACAUUGGAACUGAGACACGGUCCAAACUCCUACGGGAGGCAGCAGUGGGGAAUAUUGCACAAUGGGCGAAAGCCUGAUGCAGCAACGCCGCGUGAGCGAUGAAGGCCUUCGGGUCGUAAAGCUCUGUCCUCAAGGAAGAUAAUGACGGUACUUGAGGAGGAAGCCCCGGCUAACUACGUGCCAGCAGCCGCAGUAA
This 468-nucleotide ribosomal RNA is filed under the name uncultured bacterium. RNAcentral's name for it is "partial 16S ribosomal RNA". It matches the Rfam family "Bacterial small subunit ribosomal RNA", at positions 28 to 523 of the family's 1533-position model. The record is from RNAcentral.